UGGGGAAUAUUGGACAAUGGGCGAAAGCCUGAUCCAGCCAUGCCGCGUGUGUGAAGAAGGUCUUCGGAUUGUAAAGCACUUUAAGUUGGGAGGAAGGGCAGUAAAUUAAUACUUUGCUGUUUUGACGUUACCGACAGAAUAAGCACCGGCUAACUCUGUGCCAGCAGCCGCGGUAAUACAGAGGGUGCAAGCGUUAAUCGGAAUUACUGGGCGUAAAGCGCGCGUAGGUGGUUCGUUAAGUUGGAUGUGAAAUCCCCGGGCUCAACCUGGGAACUGCAUUCAAAACUGACGAGCUAGAGUACGGUAGAGGGUGGUGGAAUUUCCUGUGUAGCGGUGAAAUGCGUAGAUAUAGGAAGGAACACCAGUGGCGAAGGCGACCACCUGGACUGAUACUGACACUGAGGUGCGAAAGCGUGGGGAGCAAAAGCAGGAUUAGAUACCC
This 442-nucleotide ribosomal RNA is filed under the name uncultured bacterium. RNAcentral describes it as "partial 16S ribosomal RNA". It matches the Rfam family "Bacterial small subunit ribosomal RNA", at positions 355 to 787 of the family's 1533-position model. The record is from RNAcentral.